Molecule: ribosomal RNA, 477 nt
Filed under: uncultured organism
Description: partial 16S ribosomal RNA
Rfam family: Bacterial small subunit ribosomal RNA
Source: RNAcentral
GUACACUCCUGCGGGAGGCAGCAGUGGGGAAUUUUGGACAAUGGGCGAAAGCCUGAUCCAGCCAUGCCGCGUGCAGGAUGAAGGCCUUCGGGUUGUAAACUGCUUUUGUACGGAACGAAACGGCCUUUUCUAAUAAAGAGGGCUAAUGACGGUACCGUAAGAAUAAGCACCGGCUAACUACGUGCCAGCAGCCGCGGUAAUACGUAGGGUGCAAGCGUUAAUCGGAAUUACUGGGCGUAAAGCGUGCGCAGGCGGUUAUGUAAGACAGUUGUGAAAUCCCCGGGCUCAACCUGGGAACUGCAUCUGUGACUGCAUAGCUAGAGUACGGUAGAGGGGGAUGGAAUUCCGCGUGUAGCAGUGAAAUGCGUAGAUAUGCGGAGGAACACCGAUGGCGAAGGCAAUCCCCUGGACCUGUACUGACGCUCAUGCACGAAAGCGUGGGGAGCAAACAGGAUUAGAUACCCUUGUAGUCCCAUG